GGGCUGUUACACACUAGCAGAUACUAGCAAUGCUCCUCAGUCUACACGGAGCCAGCUGCUGGCAUUUGGAUUGCAGAACCCACAUCUAGUAACAGACACAGCAGAAGCUAUCGUCCUCUUGCCUGCUGCAAAGGGGACUUUCGGUCUCUAAAAGCACAAGGCUGAUGCUGUCCCACAGCUCUGCUGCCACCUGAGCGUCUGGCUGAAAGCAAAGUCCCUGGUCCGGUUGUUGUCCUUCAUGCACGUCAGAAAGAUGCUCUGCUUUAAAGCUGUGCUGUCCUGGCAACGCUAAGGGAUCUUCCACUUCAGGAGUGCCACGGAGCUGCUUUGUCACAAACUGGUGGAUGGUGGUAUUAUUUCUGCAUUCCUUACAUUUCUUUCUUGAGACUGGGAACAUGGAUUCUCUUGGCAAAGAUUGUGUUCUGGGAGGAUUUGUUUCACGUUAUGGUACUUCUUUAAGGAAGGCGUAGAAGGAUUUGGAGUUGAUGCAUGCAUGGGAUUUGUAGGGAAGAAAUCAGCAACCUUAUGCCUUUGGACCCGUGAUUCCUUACCACCAGGAUCAGCCAGACGUUUCUUUCACAUAUUAAAGCAUACCCAGGGUUCCAGCAGCCUCCUGUUCUUCCCUCAAGCUCAAACCUCGUUGCUGCUCCCUGUGUGCCGUUGGAAAUGGGCAGGCACCAUUUGUGGCUGCCUGAAUAUCCUGAGUCACAGAUUACCAGCUGGCAUCCGUGCUGCAGUUUCAUUUCUUCCUUUACGACUGCACUCCCUAGAGGAGGCUUGA
Molecule: long non-coding RNA, 781 nt
Filed under: Anas platyrhynchos platyrhynchos (common mallard)
Lineage: Eukaryota; Metazoa; Chordata; Aves; Anseriformes; Anatidae
Description: lncRNA (ENSAPLG00000022250.1)
Source: RNAcentral